UACUCGUCUGCUCGUUUUCGUUUCAGCGGCUCGGAGGAACAGGGAAGCCGGUCGAAGUCCGGCGCGGUCCCGCCACUGUAGCCGGGUGAAGGUGCCUCGGAAGUCACCACUGCCGUGGACGUCUCGCGGUGGGAAGGUGGAGGCACCGCGCGGGGGCAACCCUCCGCGGCCCGGGAGCCAGGAGACCUCCCUUCGAGCACGUCGCGCA
Non-coding RNA from Anaeromyxobacter sp. Fw109-5, 208 nucleotides. The record is from Rfam. NCBI's taxonomy places the organism in Bacteria, Pseudomonadati, Myxococcota, Myxococcia, Myxococcales, Anaeromyxobacteraceae.